AUGGAGCAUUUUGUUAAGGGAAAAGACUGGCAGCCACAACCAGCAAGCAGCAUCCUUAGCUCACAGCAACAAACAGAGCUGGUGGAAACCCCUAAGGAAAGAGGUUCCGGUGUGACAGAGGUCAGGGCUUUGACGAGGGAAAGCAGGGAGAGACAGGCGGUGAUCCCAAGAUGUCCGCCCGCCCCCUGCUCGCCUGCCCGCUGCCUCGGCUUUCACUGCAGUGCCGCGGCCCCGCCCCAGCUCCAGCUGCGCUUGCGCAUCCACCUCCCGCGCAGACUACAAGUCCCGCCAGGUCCUGCGGCUUUCUCUCGGACAACUGAGGACUCCAGGCCUAUAAAACUACAACUACCGACCACCUUAGACCGCCCUCCUAACUUCCGGGGUAGGCGUGGCCUUAGCGCUCCCGGCCGGAAGCCCCUAUGCCGGCCACUGCACACGCUGGGUUUCUCAAGCAGUGUACUGGGAUCUGUAGUCUUUCCCUUUGUUGAAGCCUAUCUGUUAAAUUUAGAAUGUUGUAGGCCUUUUGUGUUCCCGGAGUCUGAAAAGUGGCUUCUUCAUCCUUCACCUCUCACUCUCUCUCUCUCUCUCAUACACACUUGGCAGAGGUGUGAUUCUCCCAAAUUUUUCUCAUGUAUUUCUUCCAGACAUACACCUUUUUCCAACGAUCAACACCCAAGGAUGGGCAGGAAGGGAGGAGACACACUCUUACAAGAAACUAGCUAAAGCCAGGCUUGGUGGCUCACACCUGUAAUCCCAGCACUCGGAGGCUGAGGCAGGAGGAGUGCUGUGAGUUCGAGACCAGCCUGGGCUACAUAGUGAGUUCCAGGUCAGUCUCAACUAUAUAUAGUGAGACUCAGGCUCA
Molecule: long non-coding RNA, 862 nt
Organism: Fukomys damarensis (Damara mole-rat)
Lineage: Eukaryota; Metazoa; Chordata; Mammalia; Rodentia; Bathyergidae
Source: Ensembl